UGCCUGGGCCGCGACUGGCGAAGGUGGACAACCACCGGGGAGCGACCGCAUUCUCGCGUGAGCGUCGACCGCCUGGGCGCCUGCG
Molecule: non-coding RNA, 85 nt
Filed under: Streptosporangium subroseum
Lineage: Bacteria; Bacillati; Actinomycetota; Actinomycetes; Streptosporangiales; Streptosporangiaceae
Description: ZTP sequence
Rfam family: ZMP/ZTP riboswitch aptamer (pfl RNA motif)
About the family: Previously known as pfl RNA. ZMP is also known as AICAR.
Source: Rfam by way of RNAcentral